GACGAACGCUGGCGGCGUGCUUAACACAUGCAAGUCGAACGGAAAGGCCCUGCUUUUGUGGGGUGCUCGAGUGGCGAACGGGUGAGUAACACGUGAGUAACCUGCCCUUGACUUUGGGAUAACUUCAGGAAACUGGGGCUAAUACCGGAUAGGAGCUCCUGCUGCAUGGUGGGGGUUGGAAAGUUUCGGCGGUUGGGGAUGGACUCGCGGCUUAUCAGCUUGUUGGUGGGGUAGUGGCUUACCAAGGCUUUGACGGGUAGCCGGCCUGAGAGGGUGACCGGCCACAUUGGGACUGAGAUACGGCCCAGACUCCUACGGGAGGCAGCAGUGGGGAAUAUUGCACAAUGGGCGGAAGCCUGAUGCAGCAACGCCGCGUGCGGGAUGACGGCCUUCGGGUUGUAAACCGCUUUCGCCUGUGACGAAGCGUGAGUGACGGUAAUGGGUAAAGAAGCACCGGCUAACUACGUGCCAGCAGCCGCGGUGAUACGUAGGGUGCGAGCGUUGUCCGGAUUUAUUGGGCGUAAAGGGCUCGUAGGUGGUUGAUCGCGUCGGAAGUGUAAUCUUGGGGCUUAACCCUGAGCGUGCUUUCGAUACGGGUUGACUUGAGGAAGGUAGGGGAGAAUGGAAUUCCUGGUGGAGCGGUGGAAUGCGCAGAUAUCAGGAGGAACACCAGUGACGAAGGCGGUUCUCUGGGCCUUUCCUGACGCUGAGGAGCGAAAGCGUGGGGAGCGAACAGGCUUAGAUACCCUGGUAGUCCACGCUGUAAACGGUGGGUACUAGGUGUGGGGUCCAUUCCACGGGUUCCGUGCCGUAGCUAACGCUUUAAGUACCCCGCCUGGGGAGUACGGCCGCAAGGCUAAAACUCAAAGGAAUUGACGGGGCCCCGCACAAGCGGCGGAGCAUGCGGAUUAAUUCGAUGCAACGCGUAGAACCUUACCUGGGUUUGACAUGGAUCGGGAGCGCUCAGAGAUGGGUGUGCCUCUUUUGGGGUCGGUUCACAGGUGGUGCAUGGCUGUCGUCAGCUCGUGUCGUGAGAUGUUGGGUUAAGUCCCGCAACGAGCGCAACCCUUGUUCACUGUUGCCAGCACGUUAUGGUGGGGACUCAGUGGAGACCGCCGGGGUCAACUCGGAGGAAGGUGGGGAUGACGUCAAGUCAUCAUGCCCCUUAUGUCCAGGGCUUCACGCAUGCUACAAUGGCUGGUACAGAGAGUGGCGAGCCUGUGAGGGUGAGCGAAUCUCGGAAAGCCGGUCUCAGUUCGGAUUGGGGUCUGCAACUCGACCUCAUGAAGUCGGAGUCGCUAGUAAUCGCAGAUCAGCAACGCUGCGGUGAAUACGUUCCCGGGGCUUGUACACACCGCCCGUCAAGUCAUGAAAGUUGGUAACACCCGAAGCCGGUGGCCUAACCGUUGUGGGGGAGCCGUCGAAGGUGGGACUGGUGAUUAGGACU
This 1447-nucleotide ribosomal RNA is filed under the name uncultured bacterium. RNAcentral describes it as "bacterial SSU rRNA". It matches the Rfam family "Bacterial small subunit ribosomal RNA". The record is from RNAcentral.